CGUGUAGGCGGAAUAGUAUGUCAGAGGUGAAAACUACGGGCUUAACUCGUAGCCUGCCUUUGAAACUGCUAUUCUUGAGUGCGGGAGAGGAGAGUGGAAUUCCUGGUGUAGCGGUGAAAUGCGUAGAUAUCAGGAAGAACACCGGUAGCGAAGGCGGCUCUCUGGCCCGCAACUGACGCUGAGGCGCGAAAGCGUGGGGAGCAAACAGGAUUAGAUACCCUGGUAGUCC
RNAcentral lists this ribosomal RNA (229 nucleotides) under uncultured bacterium. RNAcentral's name for it is "partial 16S ribosomal RNA". It matches the Rfam family "Bacterial small subunit ribosomal RNA", at positions 568 to 796 of the family's 1533-position model. The record is from RNAcentral.